RNAcentral lists this unclassified non-coding RNA (3549 nucleotides) under Leishmania donovani. Its description in RNAcentral is "gene:LdHU3.31.5470(CDS-product:phosphoglycan_beta _13_galactosyltransferase_5)". The record is from RNAcentral. Lineage: Eukaryota; Euglenozoa; Kinetoplastea; Trypanosomatida; Trypanosomatidae.
CCCAUCUUAUCUUUCACGCUCUGCCUUUCAAAUCCACGUUCCUCUUGCGGUUCGUUUUCCACGUUGACACAAAUCACAGGCUCGUGUUGCCUCGCCUGCACCCACCCAGCGCGACAAGCGGCAAUGGCAAGCGUCGCCCAGCACAUAAUCACACCAGCGGUAAUCCGCGCGAAGUACUCUGGCUAUGUCCUGAGCAACGGCGUCAAGUGCGUCAUCGUGCAGGAUGCGAACGCGAAAAUGCCGGCGGCGGCCAUGUGCAUUCGUGCAGGCCAGCUGAACGACCCCGUAGAGCUGCCUGGACUGGCGCACUUCUGCGAGCACAUGCUCUUUAUGGGAACAGAGAAGUUCCCCAAGGAGGACGAGUUCGACAGUUUCGUGUCCAAAGCAAGCGGCCUCACCAACGCCUUCACCGAAGACUGCGAUACGGUGUACUACUUCAGCGUCAGCGAUGGCAGCCUCGAGGGGGCGCUAGAGCGGUUUGUGGAGUUCUUCGCGUCUCCCAGCUUCAGUCCCGGUGCGGUGGCCCGGGAGGUGAACGCGGUGCACAGCGAGGACGAGAAGAACCACAAUAGCGACUACUGGCGUCUCGACGAGCUGAUCCGUGACUUCUGCAACCCUAAGCACCCACGCAGCCGCUACGGCAAUGGCAACCUCACCACCCUGCGGGACGAGCCGCAGCGACGGGGAAUCGACGUGCGCGAGUCGCUCAAAACGUUCCACUCCCGCUACUACUUGGCGGAUGGAGCGACGAUUGUGGUGGUGAGCAUGCGAUCAGCCGACGAGGUGCUGAGCCUCAUCGAGGGGCCGCUCGCGCGGAUGAAGCAGGGGGCCGUUCCGCGCUUUUCCUUCCUCGAGGCCGGCGAGCAUCUGUUCACCAGUGCCGCGCUCGGAUCAUGGACCAACGUGCGCACGGUGCAGAAGAUGCGUGAGCUGCGGCUGAUGUGGGCGGUGCGGUCGCCGUCGUCGGCGUGGCGCACAACGCCGUCGGCGUACAUUGCCCACCUCCUCGGGCAUGAGUGCGACACCUCCGUGCUCGGGGUGCUGAAGAAGCGCAACUGGGCGACAGGCAUGCUGGCCGGCUCCCACCGCGUGGACGAUGACUUUGAAGUCCUGGAUGCCUCUGUCACACUCACAGUGGAGGGGUUCCGGAACGCGCUGAAGGUGGUGGACCUGCUCUACCAGGGCAUUGGCCAGUCCAUUGCGCAUGGCGUGGACGCUGAGGUGUACAAGGGGAUGAAGGCGGAGGAGCGCCUCUUCUUUGAGAGCGUUGACGCUGGCUCGCCGGCGAACCACUGCGUCGCGCUUGCGCAGAACGCCAACGCCACGGACCUGGAGCACUGCUGGAUCGGCGGCAACGUGGUGCUCGAGGACGAUAUGGAGGCGGUUCUGGCCUAUGUGCGUCAGCUGACACCGCAGAACUGCGUGAUGGUCAUGCAGUGGGGAGAUAUGCCGAUCGAUGCAGCCACCGGCGCCACGCCGGCGGAGGGAAACCCCGUGGAGAGCCAUGCACAGCAGCAUGACGAGGAGGAUGACGAGGACAGCCAGAGUGCCGAGGAGGAGACCGCAGAGGAGACGGAGCAAGCGAGUGAGAGUAACGCGUCGGCUGAGGAGCUGUUUCUCUCGCUGCCGGCCUUCGCCCAGGUGCGGGUCAGCAACGUCUCGCGCUUUCACAGGGCGCUGUACCAGACGGUUAAGAUACCGGAGGAGCACGAGGCGCGGUGGCAGAGUCUCAUCAGCGGGCCGUAUCCGCCGGAGCUGGCGUUGCCGUCCACGAACCCCUUCAUCGCCACAGACUUCACAAUUUACCCGCCGGCCGCUGAGGAGGCGGUGGACGAGAUCGCCUCCCCGCACGCCGUGACAUAUGUGAGGAAGGAUGCCGGGCACCACAGCACCUUCAAGAUGGCGCUGCGGUGCAACGUUCUCUCACCCGUUGCGUCCGCGAGCCCGCUGAACCGGCUGUACACGCGCGUCAUGCACGGCAUACUGUCCAACGCACUCACGGAGAUGGCCUACUACGCGAUGCUAGCGUCGCUCACUAAUGAGGUGAUCUUCUCGCCAACGGGGCUGGGCUUUGCUGUGGAGGGCCCGUCGCAGAAGCUGUACGAGUUUUUCUUCGCCGUAGUGCGCAAGGGGCUGUCCAUGCAGGUGCUCCAGGGUACUGCGGAGGAGUACGCGACGUACCUGGAGACAGGCGUGCAGAAGCUCAAGAACGUGGGGAUGGCGCAGCCUUACAAAGUUCUCCACGAGACACAGAAGAAAGCGACGCGGCACACGUACUACUUGUUUAACGAGAUGAUUGCGUGCGAGUCUGCCGCCACGUACGAGGGCUACUGCACCUUUGUGAAGCAGUACUUGGAGAGUGGUCUCCUGCUCGAGUGCUUCGUUGCAGGGAACGUGCUCUCCACACAGGAUGUGCGCGAAAUGCUGGUUGGUCGGCUGGAGGACCUCCUGGGGACGUUAACCAUUCCAAUCCCGCUGAAGGAGACCAUACCACGUGUGCGCGACACAUACGGCCCACGUGCUGGAGAUGGGAAAGCAAACGAGAGCGUGCUCUGCUCCUUCGAUGUCCUCUCAAUGCCACCAUCGAACCCGGCCGACCCGAACGCGGCUGUUGUCGUCGACGUCAUCAUCGGCGAGGCCACUCCGCGCGUGAUGGCGCUCACAGACACCGCAAUGAAGCUCAUCAGCUCCUCUUUCUUCAACGUGCUGCGCACGCGGGAGGCAUUGGGCUACGUUGUGUUUGCUGAAAGCAGUGUCGACUACUGCACAGCGCACGCACUCUUCGUGGUGCAGAGUGCACUGAAGGAUGUGGACUGCGUAUACCUGCUCUCCCGCAUUGUCGCCUUCUUGUCUGCUGUGGAGGCGCAGCUGGACACGGUGUGCUCCGCCGAGGAGGUCGAGAAGGUGAAGAGGGGUCUUAUCGCGGCUCUGGAGAAGGUGCCCGACUCUGUCGAGGGCGAUGUCAAGCGCCUUGAGGGUGAGUAUGUCAGCCUGUCGAAGUUUGAAAGUCGGCAGCGGACGAUUGCCGCUCUCUUGGCCAUCACCGCGGAGGAUGUAAAGUCGCACCUCCGCAAUUACUUCUUUAACAACCGCAGCGAGUCUCGUGCGUUGGCGCUGUGCAUCAAUAACGCUCGCACCGUUGCCGCCGAUGUGCUCGCUGAGCCAGGCAACCGCCGCGUUCCUCUGCCGAGCGUGCGGUCGAGGCAGGAGGACAGCGACGACGCGCCAGGGGACGCAUCAGAGGACACUGAGCCGCUGACGCUGCCUACCUUUUCGGAUGGCAGCAGCUGUGUCGAGAUUACCUCUUAUGCUUCUGCCCUCGAGUAUCAGCACGGACUUUGCCUUGUCAAGUGCAACGCCUAUUGAUGCCGCAAAGGCCUGCGGUGUAUGCGAGAGCGGCGAUACUAUCGGUGGUGCCGCCCCCUAAACGGCCGUAUUUCGAUUUCUACUCAUUUCGCGCGCGUGUUUGUGUGCCGUGCGCCGGUGCUUGUAGACGUCUCUUAUUUCCUUCGCCGGCUGUUUUACAAAAGGGCGCUCCUCUCUCGAUGC